This 1366-nucleotide ribosomal RNA is filed under the name uncultured bacterium. RNAcentral's name for it is "16S ribosomal RNA". It matches the Rfam family "Bacterial small subunit ribosomal RNA". The record is from RNAcentral.
AGAGUUUGAUCCUGGCUCAGGAUGAACGCUGGCGGCGUGCCUAACACAUGCAAGUCGAACGGUUAAGCCGGCUUCGGCCGGGAAUACAGUGGCGAACGGGUGAGUAACACGUGACCAACCUGCCCCCCGCUCCGGGACAACCGCUGGAAACGGCGGCUAAUACCGGGUACUCCGCGGGCCCCGCAUGGGGCCGGCGGGAAAGCCCAGGCGGCGGGGGAUGGGGUCGCGGCCCAUUAGGUAGUAGGCGGGGUAGAGGCCCACCUAGCCGACGAUGGGUAGCCGGACUGAGAGGUCGACCGGCCACAUUGGGACUGAGAUACGGCCCAUACUCCUACGGGAGGCAGCAGUGGGGAAUUUUGCGCAAUGGGGGAAACCCUGACGCAGCAACGCCGCGUGCGGGACGAAGGCCCUCGAGGCUGUAAACCGCUUUCAGCAGGGAAGACAUCGACGGUACCUGCAGAAGAAGCUCCGGCUAACUACGUGCCAGCAGCCGCGGUAAUACGUAGGGGGCGAGCGUUAUCCGGAUUCAUUGGGCGUAAAGCGCGCGUAGGCGGCCGCCUAAGCGGAACCUCUAACCCCGGGGCUCAACCUCGGGCCGGGUUCCGGACUGGGCGGCUCGAGUGCGGUAGAGGAGAGCGGAAUUCCCGGUGUAGCGGUGGAAUGCGCAGAUAUCGGGAAGAACACCGAUGGCGAAGGCAGCUCUCUGGGCCGUCACUGACGCUGAGGCGCGAAAGCUGGGGGAGCGAACAGGAUUAGAUACCCUGGUAGUCCCAGCCGUAAACGAUGGACGCUAGGUGUGGGGGGACCUGCCCUCCGUGCCGCAGCCAACGCAUUAAGCGUCCCGCGUGGGGAGUACGGCCGCAAGGCUAAAACUCAAAGGAAUUGACGGGGGCCCGCACAAGCAGCGGAGCAUGUGGCUUAAUUCGAAGCAACGCGAAGAACCUUACCAGGGCUUGACAUGCGAGUGAAGCCGGGGAGACCCGGUGGCCGAGAGGAGCUCGCGCAGGUGGUGCAUGGCUGUCGUCAGCUCGUGUCGUGAGAUGUUGGGUUAAGUCCCGCAACGAGCGCAACCCCCGUCCCGCGUUGCCAGCAUUAGGUUGGGGACUCGCGGGAGACUGCCGGCGUCAAGCCGGAGGAGGGUGGGGACGACGUCAAGUCAUCAUGCCCCUUAUGCCCUGGGCUGCACACGUGCUACAAUGGCCGGUACAGAGGGUUGCCACCCCGCGAGGGGGAGCGGAUCCCGGAAAGCCGGCCCCAGUUCGGAUCGCAGGCUGCAACCCGCCUGCGUGAAGCCGGAGUUGCUAGUAAUCGCGGAUCAGCACGCCGCGGUGAAUACGUUCCCGGGCCUUGCACUCACCGCCCGUCA